This 490-nucleotide ribosomal RNA is filed under the name uncultured bacterium. Its description in RNAcentral is "partial 16S ribosomal RNA". It matches the Rfam family "Bacterial small subunit ribosomal RNA", at positions 30 to 507 of the family's 1533-position model. The record is from RNAcentral.
AUUGAACGCUGGCGGCAGGCCUAACACAUGCAAGUCGAACGGUAACAGGAAACAGCUUGCUGUUUCGCUGACGAGUGGCGGACGGGUGAGUAAUGUCUGGGAAACUGCCUGAUGGAGGGGGAUAACUACUGGAAACGGUAGCUAAUACCGCAUAACGUCGCAAGACCAAAGAGGGGGACCUUCGGGCCUCUUGCCAUCGGAUGUGCCCAGAUGGGAUUAGCUAGUAGGUGGGGUAACGGCUCACCUAGGCGACGAUCCCUAGCUGGUCUGAGAGGAUGACCAGCCACACUGGAACUGAGACACGGUCCAGACUCCUACGGGAGGCAGCAGUGGGGAAUAUUGCGCAAUGGGCGGAAGCCUGAUGCAGCCAUGCCGCGUGUAUGAAGAAGGCCUUCGGGUUGUAAAGUACUUUCAGCGGGGAGGAAGGGAAUAAAGUUAAUACCUUUACUCAUUGACGUUACCCGCAGAAGAAGCACCGGCUAACUCCGUG